GUCGAAAUAAAAAUAUUAAAAAGACAUAAUAAUUUAAAAAAAAAUUACUAAAAUUUACAGGUAAAAUGUUGGAGGAACAAAAAAAUCAUUUUAAAAAAAUACAAUAAAAUUUAUACAUAAAAUUUAAUUAUAUUACUUUUGGAGGGCCAUGAUCCAAAAAUUACACUAGUUCCACCCUUGGAAAGAACAAUAUUUUUAAUGGGUUGUAAAGCCCUAUUCGCAAUAUUAGUUAUUAAAUAAUAAUUGCCAUUGCUAAUCGGUAGAUGUUAACAAUUAAUUGUUAUAUAAUACUUUUAAAGUAAAAAUAUUAGAUAAAAAU
RNAcentral lists this unclassified non-coding RNA (319 nucleotides) under Hevea brasiliensis (rubber tree). Lineage: Eukaryota; Viridiplantae; Streptophyta; Magnoliopsida; Malpighiales; Euphorbiaceae. The record is from RNAcentral.